GAUGAACGCUGGCGGCGUGCCUAAUACAUGCAAGUCGAGCGAACGGACGAGAAGCUUGCUUCUCUGAUGUUAGCGGCGGACGGGUGAGUAACACGUGGAUAACCUACCUAUAAGACUGGGAUAACUUCGGGAAACCGGAGCUAAUACCGGAUGAUAUUUUGAACCGCAUGGUUCAAAAGUGAAAGACGGUCUUGCUGUCACUUAUAGAUGGAUCCGCGCUGCAUUAGCUAGUUGGUAAGGUAAUGGCUUACCAAGGCAACGAUGCAUAGCCGACCUGAGAGGGUGAUCGGCCACACUGGAACUGAGACACGGUCCAGACUCCUACGGGAGGCAGCAGUAGGGAAUCUUCCGCAAUGGGCGAAAGCCUGACGGAGCAACGCCGCGUGAGUGAUGAAGGUCUUCGGAUCGUAAAACUCUGUUAUUAGGGAAGAACAUAUGUGUAAGUAACUGUGCACAUCUUGACGGUACCUAAUCAGAAAGCCACGGCUAACUACGUGCCAGCAGCCGCGGUAAUACGUAGGUGGCAAGCGUUAUCCGGAAUUAUUGGGCGUAAAGCGCGCGUAGGCGGUUUUUUAAGUCUGAUGUGAAAGCCCACGGCUCAACCGUGGAGGGUCAUUGGAAACUGGAAAACUUGAGUGCAGAAGAGGAAGGUGGAAUUCCAUGUGUAGCGGUGAAAUGCGCAGAGAUAUGGAGGAACACCAGUGGCGAAGGCGACUUUCUGGUCUGUAACUGACGCUGAUGUGCGAAAGCGUGGGGAUCAAACAGG
RNAcentral lists this ribosomal RNA (766 nucleotides) under Staphylococcus aureus. RNAcentral describes it as "bacterial SSU rRNA". It matches the Rfam family "Bacterial small subunit ribosomal RNA", at positions 28 to 776 of the family's 1533-position model. The record is from RNAcentral. Lineage: Bacteria; Bacillati; Bacillota; Bacilli; Caryophanales; Staphylococcaceae.